RNAcentral lists this unclassified non-coding RNA (2674 nucleotides) under Amphibalanus amphitrite. RNAcentral describes it as "nudix hydrolase 24, chloroplastic-like, transcript variant X3". The record is from RNAcentral. Lineage: Eukaryota; Metazoa; Arthropoda; Thecostraca; Balanomorpha; Balanidae.
CCCCUUGGUUGGCCCGGAGUAUCAGUUUGAGUUUUGGAUCGGUUUCAUUAAUUGUGUUGUGAGAGUUGCCGUGCCCAGCCGUGCCCGACAACUGAUACCAAUACGGGGCUGAAGCACUUUGUGAGAAAUCAUCCUGGCGAGCAGACGUCAAAUUGAAAUUCAUUAUUCAACUGAGUUCAAGUUGGAAGUGACUAGCAGUAUUUGACUUGCCUGAAAAGUGUGAAUAUUUGGACUUUUUCUUCUAGGUAACUAUAGGGCUAGGCGCUGAUCAUCCAUUGCCAAAACACUAGGCCGCCAUCUAGACUCGAGAGGACACAAUCAAAUUAGUCUGGUUAAUAAUCUACCCACCCAAGGGAGCCUUCAGUGAAAAUGGAAAAGAGCAGAUUUAUUACUCUGGCUCGGAAGUUCAAUGCUGUUCUUUUUGAAGAGAACGGCCUGCUGUCCGGCGCGCUGCCGCUGGUGGUGGCCGGCCACACAGUGGGCCUGGUGCGUGCCGAGCUGCUGCCGCUGGUGAGGGCCGCCUCCAUGUUCCACGUGACGGAGGGCGCCGUGACGCUGGACCCGGCGCUGGAGACGCCCGAGGCACGCUCGGCUGCCAUGGCCGAGCUUCUGCAGCGCUGGCGGACGCAGGAAAACCUGGUGGCCCUGCGUGGCUGGAGAAACGAGUGUUAUGAUGUGCGGGCGUCCUUCUCCAGCGCUCCCCUACUAAAGAUGGAACGGUCGGCCACAUGUGUGUUUGGCAUCCGGCAGUACGGGGUGGACCUGAACGGCUACACCCACCACCCGGAGCGGGGCUUCUGCGUCUGGAUCCAGCGCCGCUCGCUGGAGAAGCCCACCUGGCCCGGCAAACUGGACAACAUGGUCUCUGGCGGCCUGACGUCCGGGCUCGGCCUGCUGGAGGCCGUGCAGAAGGAGGCCUGGGAGGAGGCCGGCAUCCCCGAGCACCUGCUGCCCGGUAUCCGGUCGGCCGGCGCCGUCUCAAUCUGCUACCGGAGCGAGCGGGGCCUGUUCGCCAACACCGAGUUUGUGUACGACCUCGAGCUGCCGGCCGACUUCACACCACAGCCGCAGGACGGCGAGGUGGAUGAGUACCGCCUGAUGCCCGUCCAGGUUCGUCUACGGUAAAGGGAGCGCCACAUUCGCCAGCCAUGCCUUCUGCUUCGAUAUCCAGCUUGCACCCGAUUUCCAGCCGAGAAAUCAAGACGGGGAGGCGGAGGAGUUUAUGCUGGUUACACCGAAGGAGCUGAUGGAGCUCGUCUGUAGCCCCGAAUUCAAGACGACCAGCGCGCCGGUCACCCUCGACUUCCUCAUACGGCACGGCUUCAUCACACCAAACAACGAGCCGCGCUUUCUGGAGAUCUGCGAGCUGCUGCACGUGCCACUGGCGAGUGCGUACAGCACGGGCCGGCUCAUUAGCGGGCUGCAGGCCAUCCACGGCUGAGCUGUGAACAAGCACCGCGAGUGGGGAGGGCGCAGCCGUCCAGACGCCGCCGGACCGAACCCUCCAUAGCCAACAGGACAAGACACUUUCGGACCCUCCACAGCCGACAGGACAGGACAGGACAGACCACCGGACCGACCCUCGAUAGCCGAUACUCGACAAGACAGGACAGGAUAGGCCGCUAGACCGCACCCUCUCCAGCUGACACACAACAGGACAGGACAGGAUCCUUCAUAGCUGAUAUCGACAGAACAGGGCAGACCGCCAGACCCGACCUUUAUAGCCGACAGAACAAAAUAAGGACAGUACACCGUCACACAGGACCGAAACAUAUAGCAGACGGGACGGACAGGCUGGUUCAGAUAUCUUCAUCCGACAGGACGCCACCGGACAGGCGGGCAGCACCAGAUCGGAAUCACGUCUACACGACCUUUCCUUCCAACGAACCGGGGCCUGCCCACCAAACCAAGCCACCGCCAGAACUGCCAUUUCCUUGCCGAACCUGUCCUUCCCAUCCAGUUUAAAUCUCCCCUUGACUGACAUGCCUGACUGACGUCCGCACGAAUGUCGCCAUGAACAGUUACUUCGCCCCUCCACUGGAAGGACGGCGGUGCAGAGGACGGGAGUCGCACCUGCUCCUGUCUGUCAGAUAUACUCAGCUGUGGUCGGGGCGUCUUUACGGGUAGCGCGGGUGUGCUGCCUGUCUGCGCUGUGGGUGUGCCACCCUCCGUGGUAUGGCUGUCCUGCCGGUAUGGUGCCCUGUCGUGGGAUGUGCCAUCUGCCUGCCCUGUGGGUAAGAUGCCUCCGUUGGGCACUGUCCCACAGUAGGGCGCCCUGCCGGUAGAGCAGCUGUCCCGCUCGUUUGGGUGAGCCGUGGUGGCCCUCGGCUGCUCCCAUUUCCUUGCCAGGGAGGUCUGGAGGUCCGCAUAGAGGGCAGCGUUAGGCCUCGAAGGCUGUGGGGCGGUCAGUGUUGUUGAACAGAGGCUACUCAAAGUGGUCCCGUUGAGCCGGUGUGUUUUAAAGAGUCCGUAGCUAUUUGUAGACGUUUGCCUGUUUCUAAUAUGUGGUAUCUUCUGAGAGCUUUCCUUUGGCUCUGGGGUACCUUUUUGGGACUUGUGUGUUUUAUUAUGUAGUCAAUUUGCAAUUGGUUCAAUGUGUACUACGUUAUUGCUUUGUGUCGGAUUUUACCGUAUGGGAAGUCAUUUGACUAAGAAUAUACAUUGUCGCACCAUA